Molecule: long non-coding RNA, 549 nt
Organism: Nylanderia fulva
Lineage: Eukaryota; Metazoa; Arthropoda; Insecta; Hymenoptera; Formicidae
Source: RefSeq, a predicted model, not a curated record
UCGACCAACGGCUUUUAGAUGACGCCAUCGACGCCAUAUUGACGAUUCGGCUCCAAGGCUAUUCUCGGCGAUGCCGCGGUUUGCGAUUCACCGUUAGCGAAGGGGAGCGAGAGACGAUGAAAUACAGGAAGAAAAGGGCGUGAAUCGCGCACAGGAACUUCCUCCCCCCUCCCUCUCCAUCUGUCACCUUGUCGCGUGUUCCUUCGAAAUGGACUUCCAUCGUAUCAUCGAUGCUCAUCGGCAGACUCGCCGUGGAGCCAGGAAAGCAAACAGGUUCGCACAAUUCAAGCCGAGUACGCCUGCGGGGCGGGACGUCCGGGGCCAAAGGACUCGGAAGUUACGACAUCCAGCGCACAAUACCGCUUCCUGUCGCUCGUGACCUUUGAUCUCUGUCUAUCCCACUACUUGUGAUGGCACCUCAUUCGCAAUGUAAUUCCGAACGACGUGGCGCUGUAGCGAAUCUAAUCGAUCGGCACAUGGAAAAGGAAAAGCGGAAUUAUGAUAAUUCGUCGACAGAAACACGUACGUAUAUAUACUCAACAACCUUUC